GUGCUCGCUUCAGCAGCACUUAUACUAAAUUGGAACGGUACAGAGAUUAGCAUGGCCUUGCGCAAGGAUGACACACAAAUUCAUGAAGCGUGCCAUAUUAAA
This is a small nuclear RNA of Dipodomys ordii (Ord's kangaroo rat), 102 nucleotides long. The record is from Ensembl. Lineage: Eukaryota; Metazoa; Chordata; Mammalia; Rodentia; Heteromyidae.